Cavia porcellus (domestic guinea pig) is the source of this 1544-nucleotide long non-coding RNA. RefSeq lists it as uncharacterized. The record is from RefSeq and is a predicted model, not a curated record. The transcript has 2 exons. Lineage: Eukaryota; Metazoa; Chordata; Mammalia; Rodentia; Caviidae.
UCCCAGGGCUGGAGGUUUAGCUCAGCGGCAUAAGCGCCUGCCUUGCAAGCAGGCAGUUGGGAGUUCAAUCCCUGGUACCGAUUAAAAAAAGACGAAGAACUAGUAUCCCAACACAGGCAGUGAGAUUAGAGUCCACGUAAAAAAAAAAAAAAAAAAAAAAAAAAAAAAAAAAAAUUCACUCCACAGUGUUGUGUGAGUAAAGUGGAAUAAUUUGAGAGAAGGGCAUGAUCAAGGAAGGCAUGACACACAGUGAGCAAUCUUGAUUAUUUUUAAAAUAUCAUACAUCUUGAUCCAGAAAUCAAGAAUUCAUUCAAAGCCCCCGAUUUUUUGUGUGAAUUCAUCAGGUGUCAUUGUGUAUGAAUGAAAUGGUUGAUAACACCAAAGACAGAGAAAAAGAAGUAAUUGAUGGGCCAGAAGCCAUCUUCCGGUACUGUCCCCCCAACCCCACUCCACCCCACCCUAUUCCAAGGCCAUUCAAACCCUGCGCAAAUCCACUAACCCCUUCCCUACCCAGCAGUGUUCAGGAUGACAUUUUUAUCGCGGAAACCCCGCCCCCCAGUGAGGGCUCGGUUUUCCAUUGGUAGAGGUUGGGGGCGGAGCUACAUCUCAAUAUUUCAACCAAUGGAUUCCUGAGGGUUUUUUUUUUUUUUUUUUCAGUUUGGUAGUCGGUUCCUCCUCCAGACCAGCAGAGGACGCAAUCCUGGGAGAGGCAGAGGCGCAAAUCCUAGGAGGCUCUUGUAUGCGGAAGUAGCGCCAUGCGACCGGAAGUUCAUGGCUUGAAGUGUCUUGCUGUGAGGGUUCCGGCGGCUGAGAAACUCGCGUUCAGUUCGUGGAGCCAGAGGUUCUGAGCGCCCCCUAACACACACAGUCUCGUAUAUUCCGAUAGGAAAAGUAAGGGCUUUGAGAGGCCGGGACUUCUAAUAUUCACUUAGCGAGAAACUGGAGGCCCGCGCGUUUCCUACACCAUCCUGAGCGGAGGAACGACCCCCAGGAGUGGGAGGUGCUCAGCCCGGGGAGUUCCAGAGGGGAGGCGAAUGGGUGGGGAAAACGGAACCCAGAAAAGGACUUGCCAAUUUACGGUUGCCAGACUUCGCAAAUAAAAUGCAGAAUGUCCAGUUCAAAGUUGACCUUAAGAUAACGAGUAAUGUUCUGUUUUCAGAGACAGGGCCUCACUAUGUAUUCAGGCUGGCCUUGAACUUAUAGUCCUUGAAUUUACAGUCAUCCUGCGUCAGUCUGCCGAGUAUGGGGAUUACAGGAAUGGGUUACUACGCUUGGAAAGUAAAUUUCAUUCUCGCAGCAAAUGGAAUGUGAAAUAGGAGAAAGGCUCUAGGAAGAGAUAUCUGUUCAAGCUAUGUGCCAGCCACUGUCACUUCAAAAGACACAGAGGACGCUCUCCGGUGAUCCUGCCUUCAACAUGGUAGUAAGUUACAACCACAUCUCACCAUAGCCAGCCACACUUUCUGCCCCAGUGUUCCAGGUGACUUUGAUAGCAGAUGCUGAUUCCAGAAGAAGAAAUUAUAUUUACCUCUCCUCAAGAAAAAGAA